UUUAGAUCCUGGCUCAGGAUGAACGCUGGCGGCGUGCCUAACACAUGCAAGUCGAACGGGGAGUAUAUUGGAAUGAGGAUUCGUCUGAGGAAAAUGUAUCUUAGUGGCGGACGGGUGAGUAACGCGUGGGCAACUACCGUAUACAGGGGGAUAACACUUAGAAAUAGGUGCUAAUACCGCAUAAGCGCACAGCAGUGCAUACUGGAGUGUGAAAAGCCGAGACGGUAUACGAUGGGCCCGCGUCUGAUUAGCCAGUUGGCAGGGUAACGGCCUACCAAAGCGACGAUCAGUAGCCGGCCUGAGAGGGCGGACGGCCACAUUGGGACUGAGACACGGCCCAGACUCCUACGGGAGGCAGCAGUGGGGGAUAUUGCACAAUGGGGGGAACCCUGAUGCAGCGACGCCGCGUGAGUGAAGAAGUAAUUCGUUAUGUAAAGCUCUAUCAGCAGGGAAGAAUAAAUGACGGUACCUGAGUAAGAAGCCCCGGCUAACUACGU
RNAcentral lists this ribosomal RNA (497 nucleotides) under uncultured Butyrivibrio sp. RNAcentral describes it as "bacterial SSU rRNA". It matches the Rfam family "Bacterial small subunit ribosomal RNA", at positions 11 to 506 of the family's 1533-position model. Lineage: Bacteria; Bacillati; Bacillota; Clostridia; Lachnospirales; Lachnospiraceae. The record is from RNAcentral.